CACUUAAUACACACACAGAAGCGCGCACACAAACAAGUAGAGAAAGUGAUGAAAAGGGGCUUUAUUUUUAGAGUUCCGUAGCUAACCAUUUUUUUUUCCGAUUCUCUUUCUCUCCAGGACUUCAUCAUAAUCACAGGAAUCUUGUUUCUGAUCUUGAAAAUUGCUGCAGGAAAAUUUGAUUAGAAAAGUAAUUUUCUAGGAUUCUGUUGGUAUGAUUGGUGGAGUUGUUAUUCAAAUUUCGGUUCACAAGUGAAACCUUGUGAGGUCCGGGAAGUGUGGGACUAUUGAUAAUCUGGAAAUAAUAAAAUGGAGAAAAUUUGUGAAUUCUGCACAGCCUUGAGGCCAGUAGUUUACUGUGAGGCUGAUGCGGCAUAUCUUUGCCUUUCCUGUGACGCAAAGGUUCAUUCAGCUAAUGCACUCUCCAACCGACAUCUGCGUACCCUCCUAUGUGACUCCUGCAGAAAUCGCCCAGCUUAUGCUAGGUGUUUGGAUCACUGGAUUUUUGUGUGUCGUGUCUGUGACUGGAGCAUUCAUGGAGUCUCUUCCCCGCAUCAGAAAAGGAGUGUAAGUAGCUACAUGGGAUGCCCCUCUGCUAAAGAUUUUGCGGCAUUGUGGGGUUUUGAAUUGGAUGAGCUGGAUAAAAGUGCUAUUCGAGAUCAGUUAAUUUCUGCUCCAUCUGAUUCUGUGCAACCUAGUGUGGCAGUCUUUAGCAUUCCCAGAGAAUCUUGCCAGCAAAUUGGAAGCUCUUCAAGAACAUCUAAGGUGAAUUAUUCAACUCUGGCCUCUGGCACACAAUCUGAAGUGGGAUUAAGCAGCAAACAAGCUGAGGUGGGCAGAACUUAAAGAUUGUGAAAUAUCCAUGAUUCCCAGAUAUUUUUGUUGAUUUAAUUGGUGUUAUUUAUAAUUAUUCUUACUAACUUUCUUGAAAAUAGUAAUUUUUCAGACAUUCCAUCCUCCUUGACCCAUAUGUGAAGUCAGCUGAUAAUUGUUGCAUUGCAAUGGAGAAGCAGGAUGUUUUUUCCAUGCAUUUUGCAAUAUGCUAUUGAGGGGAAAAUAUUGGUUUUCAAAAAGAAAUAAAAAACUACUUUUAUGGUCCUAAAUACUUCAAAACCGUUUCUAGGUGCUCUUAGUAUUGUGUUUCAUCUUGCAGAAAUCAGGCAAAGGUCAACAACCGCAAAAUAAUGGCUUUAUUCUGCAACAGAUCCUUGAUUUGAAAAGGCUUCAGCUGACUGAGAUGGAUAACAGUUCACUGGUGAUUUGUGGUCGAGAAGACGUGGAUGUAUCUUCUUCAAUAUUUGAAACCUUGGAGAAGUUGGAUGACAGUGUUGAUCAACAUUCUCAAGAUCCUGGUAACAGUAGCUAUCCACUUCAGGACCUAAAGGUGGACUCUUUGCCUUUGUCAUUUUCUCAACCAGGGCCUUUGCCCUUGCCUUCCACUGUUGCAAAUCCUGUACUUGGAGAAUCCUUUUGGCAAUGCAAAAGCCCAGUACAAAGUAGCCAGUUGUGGUCUCAAAAUAUGCAAGAUCUUGGGGUCUGUGAAGACAUUGUUUCUCAUGAUGAUUUUAACAUACCAGAUGUUGACAUAACAUUUCGCAACUUUGAGGAGCUGUUUGGAACUGAGCAGGAUCCAAUCAGGGCUCUGCUUGAUGAUGAAGAUAAACCAUGCUACACUGUGCAGGAAAUGUCCUCCCUUGAUACAUCACACAACAGAAAUGCAAGAACAAAGGAGGUAAUUUUCAUGCCAACAUUCCCUGAAUUUCAAUUGAGAGAGCUAGAGAGGUACUGAAUUAUCUUUAUGUCCUGCUGUUUCUGAGGCUAACUAUAUCAUUGAUAAAACAUUGGGAAUAUAAAUAAAGAAUUAAUAAACAGAUUUCCAUGGGAUUUAAAGCUGUAAUAUUCCAAAUUCGUUCCAUUCAAGAAUUUGUAUUAGACCCUUCUCUUUGUUCCAUUCAAGAAUUUGUAUUAUACGCUUCAGGAGAUUUAGAAUACUAACUUACUGAAGGUUUUCUUAUUAUUUUUUUUUCUAUUUGUUCUUCUGCUCUAAUUUUGUGUCAUGACAGGACACUUCUUGUGACACCCCUCACUCGUCUACAGUGUAGCCGAGCAAGGAGUGCCACAUUCAGUGCCGAAGCACCUUAUUUAUCCUGUUGUGUCCAUUGUAAAUUUUUAAAAUUUGUAGAAAACAUGUGAAAUUUUUUUUUAUCAGAAUUUAUUUAUGUGGAUACCUGGGCAGAACUGAUGUUGACUAAUCCGCAAGUAUACGGGU
RNAcentral lists this unclassified non-coding RNA (2266 nucleotides) under Hevea brasiliensis (rubber tree). Lineage: Eukaryota; Viridiplantae; Streptophyta; Magnoliopsida; Malpighiales; Euphorbiaceae. The record is from RNAcentral.